Molecule: transfer RNA, 75 nt
Filed under: Gemmataceae bacterium
Lineage: Bacteria; Pseudomonadati; Planctomycetota; Planctomycetia; Gemmatales; Gemmataceae
Also listed under: 1 other name
Description: tRNA-Leu
Rfam family: tRNA
About the family: Transfer RNA (tRNA) molecules are approximately 80 nucleotides in length.
Source: RNAcentral
GGUGACGUGGCCCAACUGGAAGCAGGCACCGGUCUCAGAAGCCGGAAGGUGUGGGUUCGAAUCCCACCGUCACUA